GGGGGGGAAAAAAUCACGUCCCUUUCCCAGGCUAUUUUAGCUAAUACCUGCUGCAACUGUAAGUUCACUCAUAAGAAACAAUCUCAGCAUCAAAUACUAAAGCAUUUCCAGGGAAAUCUGUAAGUUCUGCACUUACURCACUCAAUCUUUUUUGUUCAUCCCAUCAGCUGCUACUAUAUAAUUAAUAACAGAUUAAAAAAAAUAAUGCACAAUUCCUACCACUGCUAACAGAGAAGCAUCAUAAGACAUCCACCAGUUCAAACCAAGUGAUGCACGGUGCCCGUUUACCUGUUAUAUUUAAAUUUCAAGCUGAGGUGGUUUCUUUUUUCCUUGAUAAAACUGAAAAACAUCCCACUUUCCAGCUGCUGCCCGCUCACAUUUCCGCACCUUUUGUGGCACCACAGGCUCACCCAGGCCUUCUCUUCAAGGCCUUUUCUGUCCUCCCCCUUGCAUUCACCCUCCGCUUUUACCCUGGCAGCUCCCCAAGCGUGCUGCCACGCAAAUCCCCUAUUACUGACCACCCACGGCCUCUCUGAGCCCUGGGAAUGCAGGAGGGAAUGUAGUUCCCUGCGCCCAGCCCUGCUCCCAGGGCAGCCAGCGCACGCGGGCACGCACUCACGCAUGCCUUCAGGCACACACAGACUCAUGCAAGCAGGCACUGAUGCACACACUCACGCAGGCACACAUGCAUGCACUCACUCACACACGCAAGCAGGCACCACUUAUUACGCCCUCCCCCCCCCACUACUAAUUACGAGACGCACGGCCACUGUUUCGAGCAUGGGGGGAGGUGAGGGGGGGAAAAAAUCACGUCCCUUUCCCAGGCUAUUUUAGCUAAUACCUGCUGCAACUGUAAGUUUGCUCAUAAAAAACAAUCUUAGCAUCAAAUAUUAAAGCAUUUCCAGGGCAAUCUGUAAGUUCUGCACAAUCUUUUUUGUUCAUCCCAUCAGCUGCUACUAUAUAAUUAAUAACAGAUUAAAAAAAAUAAUGCACAAUUCCUACCACUGCUAACAGAGAAGCAUCAUAAGACAUCCACCAGUUCAAACCAAGUGAUGCACGGUGCCCGUUUACCUGUUAUAUUUAAAUUUCAAGCUGAGGUGGUUUCUUUUUUCCUUGAUAAAACUGAAAAACAUCCCACUUUCCAGCUGCUGCCCGCUCACAUUUCCGCACCUUUUGUGGCACCACAGGCUCACCCAGGCCUUCUCUUCAAGGCCUUUUCUGUCCUCCCCCUUGCAUUCACCCUCCGCUUUUACCCUGGCAGCUCCCCAAAGAGCGCUGCCACGCAAAUCCCCUAUUACUGACCACCCACGGCCUCUCUGAGCCCUGGGAAUGCAGGAGGGAAUGUAGUUCCCUGCGCCCAGCCCUGCUCCCAGGGCAGCCAGCGCACGCGGGCACGCACUCACGCAUGCCUUCAGGCACACACAGACUCAUGCAAGCAGGCACUGAUGCACACACUCACGCAGGCACACAUGCAUGCACUCACUCACACACGCAAGCAGGCACCACUUAUUACGCCCUCCCCCCCCCACUACUAAUUACACCCCCCACCACUUAUUAUGCCACCCUAUCUAGUUGGUAUACCCCCAACCCCCCUGCAGUUCUUAAGCACCCCACCACUUAUUAUGUACCUUAACCACUAUCRAUAGGUCCGGAAUUCGACAGGCAUUGCUGCCACUCCAUCUUGAGAUGGAUCCAUGUCGAUAGCCUUCGAUGCCUACCCAGGGCAAACUGGGCUCCAGCGCAAAAGCCAUAGAUGCCUGUCGAGAGCGAGAUAUCCAUGGCGCUCGGCAGGCAUCCGUAUCUUCAGCUACCAAUACCUAUGGAGACCUAAGUGGUACGAUCCCUAUGAGUAGGUAUGGAAAGAGAUGGGCCUCGGUGCCUUGCAGCACAAAUCAGAGUGCUUAGAGGCACUGAAAGUGCAACGUGCAUGGAAGAACAGAGAAUGUUUUCGACAUAACCUUCAUUUUUCUGUGCAUUUUAUUACAGCUUAAAACACAUCUGUAAUUCAGAUCAGAUGCCUAUUCCACUUUCAACUGGCCCRUUACAAGCAUUGCUAUCUCCAAAAAGCGUGAGGCUCCAGCAGCCAGAGGUCUGUACUCUCAAUCCUUGCGAGACAGCACCAGCACAGUACACACAGCGGGAGUGAGGUGAGAACUUAGAAGAAAAGGAGGAGAAAGAAGAAUGAGAAAUUCAGAAUGAUAGCUACCAAGCAGAGGAGAAUUGGAAAGCCAAGUGCAAGCACUGCGGCUGCAGGCUGGAAAAAGCAAGAACAGCUAUUUAGCUGACUCCUCAGCUGCAAAAUUUGAAGUGGCAUCUUGCAGUGUAUAUUUAGCAAGCAGUAAUCUCAGGAUUAUACAGAGGGAAGGAUAUAAGCACAGUCCCAUCUAUCAGCCUAAAAUAUUACUAUGAGUGAUUUUUCUGAAGUGCUCACUUACUGUGGGGACAAGAUACAAAGCAUUUUGCAUUUAAUUCUAAUAAUAAUAAGUUCUAAUAAGUGCUGAGUGCAGAUUUCCAGCUGAAACCACUGGCUCCUUAAAGUCAGACACAAACUGUAUCGCUUUGGACUCAAAAAAUACAUAUAAUAAAAUUAGGAAACGCCCCUGCA
This 2605-nucleotide long non-coding RNA is filed under the name Apteryx haastii (Great spotted kiwi). RNAcentral describes it as "lncRNA (ENSAHAG00000010836.1)". Lineage: Eukaryota; Metazoa; Chordata; Aves; Apterygiformes; Apterygidae. The record is from RNAcentral.